CCUACGGGAGGCAGCAGUGGGGAAUAUUGGGCAAUGGGCGCAAGCCUGACCCAGCAACGCCGCGUGAAGGAAGAAGGCUUUCGGGUUGUAAACUUCUUUUCUCAGGGACGAAGCAAGUGACGGUACCUGAGGAAUAAGCCACGCCUAACUACGUGCCAGCAGCCGCGGUAAUCCGUAGGUGGCAAGCGUUAUCCGGAUGUACUGGGUGUAAAGGGCGUGUAGGCGGGACUGCAAAUCAGAUGUGAAAACCACGGGCUCAACCUGUGGCCUGCAGUUGAAACUGUAGUUCUUGAGUACUGGAGAGGCAGACGGAAUUCCUGGUGUAGCGGUGAAAUGCGUAGAUAUUAGGCGGAACACCAGUGGCGAAGGCGGUCUGCUGGCCCGCAACUGACGCUGAGGCGCGAAAGCGUGGGGAGCAAACAGGAUUAGAUACCCCUGUAGUC
This 443-nucleotide ribosomal RNA is filed under the name uncultured bacterium. RNAcentral describes it as "partial 16S ribosomal RNA". It matches the Rfam family "Bacterial small subunit ribosomal RNA", at positions 338 to 795 of the family's 1533-position model. The record is from RNAcentral.